RNAcentral lists this ribosomal RNA (283 nucleotides) under Clostridioides difficile. Its description in RNAcentral is "partial 16S ribosomal RNA". It matches the Rfam family "Bacterial small subunit ribosomal RNA", at positions 275 to 575 of the family's 1533-position model. The record is from RNAcentral. Lineage: Bacteria; Bacillati; Bacillota; Clostridia; Peptostreptococcales; Peptostreptococcaceae.
GACGAUCAGUAGCCGACCUGAGAGGGUGAUCGGCCACAUUGGAACUGAGACACGGUCCACACUCCUACGGGAGGCAGCAGUGGGGAAUAUUGCACAAUGGGCGAACGCCUGAUGCAGCAACGCCGCGGGAGUGAUGAAGGCCUUCGGGUCGUAAAACUCUGUCCUCAAGGAAGAUAAUGACGGUACUUGAGGAGGAAGCCCCGGCUAACUACGUGCCAGCAGCCGCGGUAAUACGUAGGGGGCUAGCGUUAUCCGGAUUUACUGGGCGUAAAGGGUGCGUAGG